UACGUAGGGGGGCAAGCGUUGUCCGGAAUCAUUGGGCGUAAAGGGUGUGUAGGUGGCGCCGUAAGUCGGGUGUGAAAUUUCGGAGCUUAACUCCGAAACUGCAUUCGAUACUGCGGUGCUUGAGGACUGGAGAGGAGACUGGAAUUCAUGGUGUAGCAGUGAAAUGCGUAGAGAUCAUGAGGAAGACCAGUGGCGAAGGCGGGUCUCUGGACAGUUCCUGACACUGAGACACGAAGGCCAGGGGAGCAAACGGG
Molecule: ribosomal RNA, 254 nt
Filed under: uncultured bacterium
Lineage: Bacteria
Description: partial 16S ribosomal RNA
Rfam family: Bacterial small subunit ribosomal RNA
Source: RNAcentral